This 606-nucleotide ribosomal RNA is filed under the name Staphylococcus pseudintermedius. RNAcentral's name for it is "partial 23S ribosomal RNA". It matches the Rfam family "Bacterial large subunit ribosomal RNA", at positions 402 to 1009 of the family's 2925-position model. Lineage: Bacteria; Bacillati; Bacillota; Bacilli; Caryophanales; Staphylococcaceae. The record is from RNAcentral.
UGGAUCCUGAGUACGACGGAGCACGUGAAAUUCCGUCGGAAUCUGGGAGGACCAUCUCCUAAGGCUAAAUACUCUCUAGUGACCGAUAGUGAACCAGUACCGUGAGGGAAAGGUGAAAAGUACCCCGGAAGGGGAGUGAAAGAGAACUUGAAACCGUGUGCUUACAAGUAGUCAGAGCCCGUUAAUGGGUGAUGGCGUGCCUUUUGUAGAAUGAACCGGCGAGUUACGAUCUGAUGCAAGGUUAAGCAGAAAAUGUGGAGCCGUAGCGAAAGCGAGUCUGAAUAGGGCGAAUGAGUAUUUGGUCGUAGACCCGAAACCAGGUGAUCUACCCUUGGUCAGGUUGAAGUUCAGGUAACACUGAAUGGAGGACCGAACCGACUUACGUUGAAAAGUGAGCGGAUGAACUGAGGGUAGCGGAGAAAUUCCAAUCGAACUUGGAGAUAGCUGGUUCUCUCCGAAAUAGCUUUAGGGCUAGCCUCAAGUGAUGAUUAUUGGAGGUAGAGCACUGUUUGGACGAGGGGCCCCUCUCGGGUUACCGAAUUCAGACAAACUCCGAAUGCCAAAUAAUUUAACUUGGGAGUCAGAAUGUGGGUGAUAAGGUCCAUA